Molecule: ribosomal RNA, 393 nt
Filed under: uncultured bacterium
Lineage: Bacteria
Description: partial 16S ribosomal RNA
Rfam family: Bacterial small subunit ribosomal RNA
Source: RNAcentral
AUACGGAGGAUCCAAGCGUUAUCCGGAUUUAUUGGGUUUAAAGGGUGCGCAGGCGGAAGAUUAAGUCGGCGGUGAAAUUUUGCAGCUCAACUGUAAAAGUGCCAUCAAUACUGGUUUUCUUGAGUGUGGAUGAAGUAGGCGGAAUUUGUGGUGUAGCGGUGAAAUGCAUAGAUAUCACGAGGAACUCCGAUUGCGCAGGCAGCUUACUAAACUACUACUGACGCUCAGGCACGAAGGCGUGGGGAUCAAACAGGAUUAGAUACCCUGGUAGUCCACGCAGUAAACGAUGAUUACUAGCUGUUUGCGAUACAAUGUAAGCGGCUGAGCGAAAGCGUUAAGUAAUCCACCUGGGGAGUACGUUCGCAAGAAUGAAACUCAAAUGAAUUGACGGGG